Molecule: ribosomal RNA, 440 nt
Filed under: uncultured bacterium
Lineage: Bacteria
Description: partial 16S ribosomal RNA
Rfam family: Bacterial small subunit ribosomal RNA
Source: RNAcentral
CCUACGGGUGACAGCAGUAGGGAAUAUUGCUCAAUGGGGGAAACCCUGAAGCAGCAACGUCGCGUGGAGGAUGAAGGUUUUCGGAGUGUAAACUCCUUUUGUUAGAGAAGAUAAUGACGGUAUCUAACGAAUAAGCACCGGAUAACUCCGUGCCAGCAGCCGCGGGAAUACGGAGGGUGCAAGCGUUACACGGAAUCACUGGGCGUAAAGAGCGCGUAGGCGGGUUAGCAAGUCAGAUGUGAAAUUCUAUGGCUUAACCAUAGAACUGCAUUUGAAACUGUUAGUCUAGAGUAUGGGUGAGGUAGGUGGAAUUCUUGGUGUAGGGGUAAAAUCCGUAGAGAUCAAGAAGAAGACUCAUUGCGAAGGCGACCUGCUAGAACAUAACUGACGCUGAUGCGCGAAAGCGUGGGGAGCAAACAGGAUUAGAUACCCUUGUAGUC